This 462-nucleotide ribosomal RNA is filed under the name uncultured bacterium. Its description in RNAcentral is "partial 16S ribosomal RNA". It matches the Rfam family "Bacterial small subunit ribosomal RNA", at positions 28 to 507 of the family's 1533-position model. The record is from RNAcentral.
GAUAAACGCUGGCGGCGUGCUUAACACAUGCAAGUCGAACGAAGUUUUUCUUUCGGGAGGAACUUAGUGGCGGACGGGUGAGUAGCGCGUGGGUAACCUGCCCUGUACAGGGGGACAACAGCUGGAAACGGCUGCUAAUACCGCAUAAGCCCUUAGCACUGCAUGGUGCAUAGGGAAAAGGAGCAAUCCGGUACAGGAUGGACCCGCGUCUGAUUAGCCAGUUGGCAGGGUAACGGCCUACCAAAGCGACGAUCAGUAGCCGAUCCGAGAGGAUGUACGGCCACAUUGGGACUGAGACACGGCCCAGACUCCUACGGGAGGCAGCAGUGGGGAAUAUUGCACAAUGGAGGAAACUCUGAUGCAGCGACGCCGCGUGAGUGAAGAAGUAUUUCGGUAUGUAAAGCUCUAUCAGCAGGAAAGAAAAUGACGGUACCUGACUAAGAAGCACCGGCUAAAUUCGUG